This is a long non-coding RNA of Danio aesculapii, 5370 nucleotides long. RefSeq lists it as uncharacterized. The transcript is spliced from 3 exons. The record is from RefSeq and is a predicted model, not a curated record. NCBI's taxonomy places the organism in Eukaryota, Metazoa, Chordata, Actinopteri, Cypriniformes, Danionidae.
UCUGUGCCUCUGUGUGUGUGUUCAGCGUAUGUUUGUGUAUGUGUGUGUGUUCAUUGAGUAUAUGCAUGUGUGUGGAUCUGUCUAUGUGCAUAUGUGUGUGUUCAGUGUGUGUGUGUGUGUGUGUGUGUGUGUGUGUGUGUGCUUCAUCUUUUAGUCUGUCUCCAUUGAGAGCAUUUUUCUCCAUUGAGCGUCUGCAGCGUGAGUGAUCUGUGUGUGUGUGUGUGUGUGUGAGAUGUAUAGAUGAUGGAUCUGCACUGGUGUAACAGGAUCAUCUCUCAGCCGCUGCAGGACUCAUCUGCUUUAUUCAUCUGCUUUGUGUCUUUAAUCCUGUUUGUGCUUUUCAGCCGGAGAACGAGGACAAAUCAAUAACAUACGACAACAUCGGAGCCAACGUGUGUAUGGGAGACCACAAGCCGGUCUACUUGUUCUUUCGGUUAACCACAGGUCCAGGUAAACCUAAUGCAAAUAAGCACAAGUGUUGUGUCGUGCAGUGAUGUGGAAAAUGGUGCCAAAGGGUGGAGAAGAUUUCAUGAAAAGCGGCCCUGUGAGAAGCUCCGACACUGGUGGAUGGACACACACACACACACACACACACACACACACACACACACACACACACACACACCCUGUAAAGACUUUUCAGCAGGACUGAGCAGUCGCGUUUGUUGCAGUGCAUACCAUCAUGUACAUAGAAACCACACACUGAGUUCAUCAAUGCUUCAAGAGUCGAGAUCGUGGACACACACACACACACACACACACACACACACACACACACACACACAUUCUUACAAACACACACAUACACUUAUACAAACACAUACACACACAUUCUCCUUCAAACACACACACACUGAUGCAUAGACUCUUCUACAAAUACACACAUACUGACACACACUCUAACAAACAAACACACACAUACUGACACACUUUUACAAACACACACACACAAACACAUACACUCUUACAAACACACACAUACACACACACACACACACUGGCACACAAUCUUACAAACACGCACACAUAAUACUCUCUUGCAAACACACACAUACUGAGACAUACACUUGGACCAACACACAAUUGCACACGCACAAUCAAACACACACUCUCAAACACACGCAUACACUCACAAGCACACACUUAUACACUCUGUUUCAAACACACACACAGACACUGUCUUACAAACACACACACUCAGACACACUCACAGACACACACACACUCAAACACACAGAUACACACACACAGCCAGAUCAGCUGCUGUUCUCUCCGCCUUGUCUCCAGAUCUCUCCAGGUCAUCAGAGAUCCUCCACAGGUUCUGAAGUGUGUUAGACGGCGAGCUCCUUCCCUCAGUGUGUCAGAUGUGUUAACAGUGCAAUGCAGAACCCCUCAGAUACGGCUGUGUUCCUCUAGCGUUUGCUUUAUUUCUACAUGAUGCCAUAGAGGUGUGAUUUUAGUGCUUUGAUGGAGAUUUCUAGACGUUCUCUCUGCUAGAAUAGAUCGCUCUCUACAGUAUAGAUAUAUAUAGAUAGAUAUAUUCUGUUUGUAUGAUUUCCUCCUUCAUUGAAUAUUGUUUGAUUUAUUAUUAUUAUUAUUUUAUUUUUUGGAUUGUGUCGUAACACUCUGCCGUGCCGCAAACAACCGCCGAGUCUCAUUUUAUAUACUGUACUUUUUAAUAAUUUAUAAUUCCUACUAAAUCUAUUAUGCUGACGUAUAUAUAGAGAUACGGACGGCUGCUUCCAGUGUGACGAUUCUCAAAUCUUGGAUUAGUUAUACAGAUAUACAACCAUCAUCCUUAGCCGGAAGUACAUUUCAGCUAAUAUGAUUUAUGUAGACUUGAAGACAAAAUCAUCUGCUCUCCUGUCAGAUUUUAAUCAUUUAUCAAAUAUUUCCCAAAGUGAUGAAGACAUUUCUAAUCAUAAUAGUGUUAAUAACUCAUCUCUAAUCACUGAUUUCUUUUAUCUUCGCCAUGAUGACAGCACAUAAUAUUAGACUAGAUAUUCUUCAAGACACUAGACUGUCAAACAUAUGUUAAUGAACAGUUUCUGUAUUCUAGUGUGUGUUUUGGGUUUAUUUGUGGUUGUGUAUUGCAUUAUAGGCUGUUGAUCUCGGCUCUGUCCACUUUUGAUGUUGUAAAUUCAUGUAGAUAAGUAUUUGGAAAUACUUUUAUUGACAUUUUAGUCGUUUAAUAUUCAUUUAUUCAUUUUCUUUUCGGCUUAGUCACUUUAUUAAUCAGGGGUCACCACAGAGAAAUGAACUGCCAACUUAUCCAGCACAUGUUUUACGCAGUGGAUGCCCUUCCAGGUGCAACCCAUCACUGGGAAACACCCAUACACUCCCAUACACACUCAUACACUACGGACAAUUUAGCCUACCCAAUUCACCUCUUCUGCAUGUGUUUGGACUGUGGGGGAAACCGGAGGACCCGGAGGAAACCCACACCAACACGGGGAGAACAUGCAAACUCCACACAGAAACGCCAACUGACCCAGCCGAGGCUCGAACCAGCGACCUUCUUGCUGUGAGGCGACAGCACUACCCACUGCGCCACUGUGUCGCAUCGUUUAAUAUAAGAAAUAAUAUCUAAAGAAAUAAGUCUGAAAAUGUGCUGGCAGGGUAACACUUUAGAAUAAUUAUACACUAUGAAGCGUCUAUUAAGCAUUAGCAAGUAGUCAAUUCAUUAUCUCUUAAGUAUUACCUCUAUUAUUAACUCUAUUAAUAGACGUUAGUAAGCGGUGUAUAAAUGCAAAUGCUCUAUUAUUGACUUAAAAGCACAUAUAUUGUUCUUAAUGAUUGUGUUUUCAUACUUUUUAAUUAUUAUUUUGUCAUUAAUUAUCACAUUAUUUGAGAGAAGGUGUUGGUUUUUAAAGAUUAUUCAGAAUGUGUAGAUAAAGGAUUAAUAAAGUAUUGAAAUUAACAUUUAAAUAUCUGAUUAUUCAGGCAUAUAUUAAUAAUUACUCUGUAUGUUGAUAAAUACUUCAUUAACUCAACGUCGUCCUGUUUUGUGACCUAAACUGAGUACUAUUAAUGCUUUAUAAAUCACUUAUAAAUGACCAUUAAAGGCUCUAAAGUUAUACUCUAAACAAGGAAAAAGCUAAAUAAAUGACUUUAAUUCAUUUCUGUUAUUUUGAAGAUACACAAAUUAAACCGUGUCAAAUGAAAAUCUUUGCAAUCUUAUGUAAAGUAAAGCCUACUGUACAGUUUAAACAUCGCUAAAUAACACUGAAAUGUUGCAUUAUAGUAUAUUAAAUUAUUAUAUUGUUAUUUUAUCCAAUUGUAGUUAUAUUUUGACGCUCCUGUCAUUCUCCAAUGCUUAAACUAUACAAUAAAUUUACUUUUGAGAUAAAAUUGUAAAGAUUUAUUGAUCAUUUGAUACUGAGUCUUUAAUUGUCAUUGAUUAGGGAUUUAUAUUGCAUUAAUAGUACUCACUUUAGAUUAGGUCUCAACUGGAUGAAGUUGAGUUAAUAAAGCGUUUUUUAGCAGACGAUACAGAAAAUUUUGUUUAGAAUAGUUAUUAAUCAUUUACUAACUCAUUCUGAACGAUCUUAAAAACCAGCAACUAUUCUUAAAUACAAAUGCUUUGUAAAUAAUGCAAUACUUUAGCCAUGAAGAAUAAAUCAGUAACAAAGUAUGAAAAUACAAUAAUUAGGCCCAUUAUACAUGUGCUUAGGUCAAGAGUACAGCAGUUGUAUUAUAUAUUUAUAAACUGCUUACUAACAUCUAUUAAUGUAGAGUUAAUGCUUAACAGAUUUUCUGGACACUCAAAGCGCUUUACACAAUGCGGGGGGAAUCUCCUCAUCCACCACCAGUGUGCAUCAUCCACCUGGAUGAUGCGACAGCCGCCAUAUUGCGCCAGACCACACACCAGCUGAUUGGUGGAGAGGAGACAGAAUGAUGAAGCCAGUUAUGAUAUGGGGAUGUUUAGGAGGCCAUGAUGGACAGAGGCCAGUGGGCAGAUUUGGCCAGUACACCGGGGUAAACCCCUAAUCUUUUUCUAAGGACAUUAUUAAUGACCACAGAGAGACCUCGGUUUAACGUCUCAUCCGAUAGACGAUAGAGUCCCCAUCAAUAUACUGGGGCAUUAGGACCCACACAGACCACAGGUUGAGCGCCCCCUGCUGGCCUCACUAACACUACUGCCGGCAGCAACCCAUGUUUCAAUGUGGUCUCCUAUCCAGGAGACUGACCAGGCUCAGCCCUGCUUAGCUUCAGUGGGCGACCAUGUGAGAGUUGCAGAGAGCUAGCUGUCUGCUUAAUAGAUGAUUGAUAGUGUGUAUUUAUUAUAAAGUGUUACCCACACAUGUUCAGAAAAGUCAGUUUUUACAACUUUUCAAGGUUAAAAUUAGUUUGAAGGAAGAUCAAGAUCCCAUAAUGCAACUCAAAAUAAACAAUACAAACCACAUCAUAUGAUAACCUUAACUGCUAAUUUACAGAUAUUGCAAUUUAUAGACUUAAAGGUGCAGUAGGUGAUCUGACAAAAUGCUAAUCAUUAGCAUAAUAUCUUUAAAAUACAGUCCUUCCCCUGCCGUUCAAAGCCACGCCUCCUGAAAUCAUGAACGUGCACCGUAAAGAUGACCAUAGAGAACCCACUAGAUCAUGUCAGUUAGUAAACUCUACAGUACUUUAUAAUACUACAAUCCCCAAUGAGAAACUGUGUAAUAUGUGCAAUAUUUCAUACAUGUGAGGAUCGCCACUAAUGUAUGCUUAGUGUUUGGCCUGCGGCGUGCAGGAAUUACCCUUAUUACUGAGCCAUACUGACAUGCUAUAUCAGAGUGAAUAUUCAGAGUAGCGGUGAACAAUAUAGGGAGCGCGUCACAGGCUGUCAUUGUUCAGAAAUGACCCAUUGUGAAUAGAAAAGCAUCUUCAGCUCAGUAAAGCAGGCUAGGCGGAAUAGUGCUAUUCACUGAUGUUCUGUUGUUAAACUGAAUAUAAAUCUACAUUAUCAAUGCUGUAAAAGACCCUUAUGAACCUGAAAAUAGUCACAUCAGUCUAUCACCGGGAGAUUUCAGAGGCUGAACAACACUUCUGUGCAGAUAACCCAUUCAUAACAACCCAAUCUACAUCAGCUCUGCAAGACUAAAAUAGUUUUAAACAGAACAUGAAUAGAGAAGACUUUAGCCAUGGUGUUAUCCUUCCUCCAGCGGGCAAAACUCACUCCAAUAUUGAUUCAGGAGUUUAUAAAGUUCUCAUCUCUCGGGAUGAGAAUCAGCACCUCCAAGUCCGAGGCCUUGGUGCUCCACCGGAAAAAGGUGGUUUGCCAUCUCCAGGUUGGAGGAAAGUCCUUACCCCAGGUGGAGGAGUUCAAGUAUCUCUGGGUUUUGUUCAUGAGUGAGGGAAGGAUGGAGUGUGAGAUUGACAGGCGGAUUG